CCCUAAGUAGAGAGGCCCCGUCCAGCAGCCUGCAGGAUGGACCAGCAUGGGCAGUAUAAGUUGAAACAAGACAGAGGAAGAGCUCCAGCAGCCCUGGGAGAGCCUGGAAGAGGGCUUCAGCAGUGAUCGGCUUAGCAAGGACGCUGAUCCUCUCCUGCCUUCCAGACAGACCUAGGACCUGGCAAUCCCGCUCAGCAAUGGUAGUUCCUGCGGAGACCCUCACUUGCCCUGCUCCUCUGUAGCUUCCCUGCAAUAAAGUCAAGCCGAUUUUGCUGGCGAUA
This is a long non-coding RNA of Budorcas taxicolor (takin), 281 nucleotides long. RefSeq lists it as uncharacterized. The transcript has 3 exons. The record is from RefSeq and is a predicted model, not a curated record. NCBI's taxonomy places the organism in Eukaryota, Metazoa, Chordata, Mammalia, Artiodactyla, Bovidae.